GGGGGCGUAAUGGUUUCGACUUCGAGUGUGAAACCCGGCCCGCAUGCCGAGGAUGAUUCGUUGGCCUCGUAAAAAAUCGGAUCACACAAACAAACGCAGAUUACGAAGAUCUCGCUCUCGCGGCCUAAUUGAGCCGUGACGCGUUCCGGCGGACGCCUGCUAAGCCGGAACGCGACGACAGCAGGCUGGUCCGGGAUGGGGCGACCGCUACCCCGGGUGAAUCGAUUCCGUGGACGCUUUGGCAGGGGAUGCGUGGCGGUUCGCCAGCCCCGGCCGAGACCAAAGACCGCCUAAGCAUGUAGAAGGUUGUGCGGAUCGUUUGAAGGACAGGGGUUCGACUCCCCUCGCCUCCAGUU
RNAcentral lists this transfer-messenger RNA (356 nucleotides) under Verrucomicrobiota bacterium. Its description in RNAcentral is "Verrucomicrobia bacterium (mine drainage metagenome) transfer-messenger RNA". It matches the Rfam family "transfer-messenger RNA". From Rfam's summary of the family: Bacterial tmRNA, also known as 10Sa RNA or SsrA, is named for its dual tRNA and mRNA-like properties. Its role is to liberate the mRNA from a stalled ribosome. Lineage: Bacteria; Pseudomonadati; Verrucomicrobiota. RNAcentral also lists the same sequence under 1 other name. The record is from RNAcentral.